UACGAAGGGUGCAAGCGUUACUCGGAAUCACUGGGCGUAAAGGGUGCGUAGGCGGGUCUUUAAGUCAGAGGUGAAAUCCCCGGGCUUAACCUGGGAAUGGCAUUGGUGACUGCACGGCUAGAGUGUGUCAGAGGGGGGUAGAAUUCCACGUGUAGCAGUGAAAUGCGUAGAGAUGUGGAGGAAUACCGAUGGCGAAGGCAGCCCCCUGGGAUAACACUGACGCUCAUGCACGAAAGCGUGGGGAGCAAACAGG
RNAcentral lists this ribosomal RNA (253 nucleotides) under uncultured bacterium. Its description in RNAcentral is "partial 16S ribosomal RNA". It matches the Rfam family "Bacterial small subunit ribosomal RNA", at positions 524 to 776 of the family's 1533-position model. The record is from RNAcentral.